CGCAUAUAUUACAAUAGCCCUACACAUGCUUCUACUAAUAAAAUAAAAAAACAGCAAAAUAGAAUAUUAGUAAUUGAAAGUUGUCCAUCUGCAGUUGCGUGUGCUUGAGUCAGACAAACAUAAACUGUAAGAGAACAAAUUCACAUCAAAUUUACGUUUUCAAACUUGAUUCUUUCUCAUUUCCCGUUGGAGUUCACGUUUUAUUCGUCUCUCUUCUUUAACAGUGGAUCUUGCUACUUCUACUACUCACUCUUUAUAUUAAUUUACGUUCUGAUUUUGGGGUUUUUAGAUGGAUGAUGAAGAAGAGGGAGACCUGUGAUAUUUCCGGUAGAGUGAAGAGAUGAUUGACUUUUGCAGUUAGUGCUAGCAAAGGAUGAUGAGAGACAAGAGGGACAUAAGGCCUGUAAUCUUGAAAUUUGGGGUUGCUUUAGCUCUCUCACUUGGUGGAAUUAUCUUUACUUUUUUUUUGAAACAAAAGAAUCAAGCCCUCCAAUUCUUCUCCGUCUUCCAAUUCAGGUGGUAAAAAAGGUAAGCUCAAAAAUGAUGAUCAGAAGACUCCGACCUCACGCAAUUCAGUUUUUGAUGUGCCAGAGAGAGAUGUUAAGUUUAUUUGACUGGUGAUUCUUAUUUUGAUCUUCUGAAUUCUUACUUGAUUUUAGGUUUUUGUUAGAUUUUGUUGGAUUUGAAGGGUUGACUCUGUUGUUUAUAUAUUGAUUCAAUUUCUCAGCAUAGAAUGUAUUAGUUGUUAACUGAUUGCUUUAAUAGGUGUUAAAUUAGGAAGGGUAGAAUAAACUGUAGAAAUGAUUAAUUAUUGUUGGAAGAGCUCCCUGUAAUUGAUACAUUUGAGCUAUGAUCACAAUGUUCAACCAAUGAAUUUUACCUUAUUUGAAUUGGGGCAUCGCAGUAUAACUCCUGCUUUGUAGCUUCAUCUUAUUUUCUACUUGUUUUAUCUACAGUAACUGAAAACACUAUUGACUUUAAUGUUUCAUGGAGUCCUAGUAUUUUGAUUAAUUCUGUAAUUUUGAAUAGAUUGAUUCCUAAAAAAUCUGAACUUUUAUCCUUUUCCCCUCCUUCCCCUUUUCCGUCUGAUUAUGCUUUUGAUGUGCUUAACAUAGUUUACUUUGGAAUAGCCAGAAAAAUAGAACGCAUAGUUCUGAAAAAAGGGAGCCCAGUGCACUAAGCUCCAGCUAUAUACGGGGUCCGCGGAAGGGCUAGACCACAAGGGUCUAUUGUACGCAGCCUUACCCUGCAUUUCUUCAAGAGAUUGUUUGUACGGCUCAAACCCGUGACCUCCUCGUCACGCGACAGCAAGUUUAUCAGUUACGCCAAGGUUCCCUUCGGAACUCAUAGUUCUGAAUUGACCAAAAAAAGGAGUUGUGAUGGGAGUGAAAGAAUUGAAUGACGCUUCUGUAUUAUUAGACAGUUGAUUUGUUGUCCUGUUUCUAAGCUAAAUCACUUGAGAUUAUCAUGGUUUAAAUAGGUUCUACUUUCUUUUCUAUUUGAUUUGUUGUUCUGUUUCUAAGCUAAAUCAGUUGAGAUUAUCAUCGUUUAGAAAUGACUUUCUUUAAUUUAUAAAACAUAUAGUUACCUUUGGUAAA
Nicotiana attenuata is the source of this 1598-nucleotide long non-coding RNA. RefSeq lists it as uncharacterized. The transcript is spliced from 2 exons. Lineage: Eukaryota; Viridiplantae; Streptophyta; Magnoliopsida; Solanales; Solanaceae. The record is from RefSeq and is a predicted model, not a curated record.